AAGUGAAAUUAUGAUUCAUCCCAUUUAAGCAGUUGCUUUUAGAAGAUCUGUUUGCUAAUGCCUCAUUUGACUGAUGUAUUUAUAUUGAAACCUAUUCAAACUUAGUAUUGAUAAUAUUCUUUGAGGGUUAUUAUUAAAACAUGUGUUGUGAUAUAAAUAAAGGAUGUUUGCUUCUCCAUAUUUUGAUUUUUUGCCAGAUUUUCGGAAUUCUCUGAUUUUAUCCAUGUAUGUCAUUAAAAAAAAUUGCCCACUAACCCCUACUUUUCUUUUCAUAAUUCUAUUACAUAAAGUUUAAAAAGCCAUACUUCAAAAUUUUAUAAAAUUCUUGUUAUUUUUUCAUAGUUUUAGAAACAAAUAAGGUGCCAAUGUUGAAUAUAUGAAAAACCUAGAGAGAGUUAAUUCCCGCCAAAUUUUCAAUGGCUUAUAGAUCUUGAAAACGAGCACACGCCCCCUCCAUUUUUUUUCUACUUUUUUAGUUUCUUUAUUUAUAUACUAUCAAUUCAUAAUAGUCUUUUAAAAAGCUUGUUAUUUUUUU
RNAcentral lists this long non-coding RNA (535 nucleotides) under Mytilus galloprovincialis (Mediterranean mussel). The record is from RNAcentral. Lineage: Eukaryota; Metazoa; Mollusca; Bivalvia; Mytilida; Mytilidae.